CCGUUCUGUUGGUUAAUAGUUGUCAAUAUUUGAUUGAUAAUUUAUGAUACUCCCUUAGACUCCCAAUUAUUAUAAAACCUUUAAACAUUUUCCUGAAAUGAGUCCCUUGUCUUUUAAUGGAGUAUCUGCCAAUAUUUGAAUAGUGUGGCUCAGUUUGGAUAGAACUACAAGCUUCUCAUUGUUUCUCCUUCUAUGCCACAG
Pelobates cultripes (western spadefoot toad) is the source of this 201-nucleotide non-coding RNA. NCBI's taxonomy places the organism in Eukaryota, Metazoa, Chordata, Amphibia, Anura, Pelobatidae. The record is from the annotation of a GenBank genome assembly.